AUUGAACGCUGGCGGCAUGCUUUACACAUGCAAGUCGAACGGUAACAGGCCGCAAGGUGCUGACGAGUGGCGAACGGGUGAGUAAUGCAUCGGAACGUGCCCAGUCGUGGGGGAUAACGCAGCGAAAGCUGCGCUAAUACCGCACACGAUCUAUGGAUGAAAGCGGGGGACCGUAAGGCCUCGCGCGAUUGGAGCGGUCGAUGUCAGAUUAGGUAGUUGGUGGGGUAAAGGCUCACCAAGCUAACGAUCUGUAGCUGGUCUGAGAGGACGACCAGCCACACUGGGACUGAGACACGGCCCAGACUCCUACGGGAGGCAGCAGUGGGGAAUUUUGGACAAUGGGCGCAAGCCUGAUCCAGCAAUGCCGCGUGCAGGAAGAAGGCCUUCGGGUUGUAAACUGCUUUUGUACGGAACGAAACGGCUCUGGUUAAUACCUGGGGCUAAUGACGGUACCGUAAGAAUAAGCACCGGCUAACUACGUGCCAGCCGCCGCCGUAA
This 498-nucleotide ribosomal RNA is filed under the name uncultured bacterium. RNAcentral's name for it is "partial 16S ribosomal RNA". It matches the Rfam family "Bacterial small subunit ribosomal RNA", at positions 30 to 523 of the family's 1533-position model. The record is from RNAcentral.